This 318-nucleotide long non-coding RNA is filed under the name Heterocephalus glaber (naked mole-rat). RNAcentral's name for it is "lncRNA (ENSHGLG00000043254.1)". Lineage: Eukaryota; Metazoa; Chordata; Mammalia; Rodentia; Bathyergidae. The record is from RNAcentral.
AUUUUAAGAAAUUUUUGUGGUUACCUUAUCAAAAGUUCAACUGUUUAUUGCCACUACUUCUUUUUUAUCUGUCCUGGGGGUUGAACCUGGGGCUUUAGUACUGAGUUACAUCUCCAGCCCAUUUUUCACUUUUUAUUUUGAGACAGGUUCUUGUCAAGUCACCCAGGCUGGGCUUGAACUUGGCCUUCUCUUGCCUCAGUCUCCCAAGUAGCUAGGAUUACAGGGCUGGCCAUUGAACCCGGGACCUCACAUAUUCUAGAUGAAACUCUAUAUUUGGACCAACAACUCUAGUUCCUCCUCCUCUUCCAGUUCCUGGCC